RNAcentral lists this ribosomal RNA (402 nucleotides) under bacterium. RNAcentral describes it as "partial 16S ribosomal RNA". It matches the Rfam family "Bacterial small subunit ribosomal RNA", at positions 355 to 776 of the family's 1533-position model. The record is from RNAcentral.
UGGGGAAUUUUGCACAAUGGGGGAAACCCUGAUGCAGCGACGCCGCGUGAUUUAGAAGGCCUUCGGGUUGUAAAAAUCUUUUCUAUGGGAAGAAAAUGACAGUACCAUAGGAAUAAGGACCGGCUAAUUACGUGCCAGCAGCCGCGGUAAUACGUAAGGUCCGAGCGUUGUCUGGAAUCAUUGGGCGUAAAGGGUACGUAGGCGGGUAAGCAAGUUAGAAGUGAAAUCCUAUAGCUCAACUAUAGUAAGCUUUUAAAACUGCUCAUCUUGAGGUAUGGAAGGGAAAGUGGAAUUCCUAGUGUAGCGGUGAAAUGCGCAGAUAUUAGGAGGAAUACCGGUGGCGAAGGCGACUUUCUGGCCAUAACCAGACGCUGAGGUACGAAAGCGUGGGUAGCAAACAGG